GCAUUAGAAGCCAUUUGUAGUUUUCUAGAUGCGCGUACUCGAGAACUGGAGACCGAUGCUUAUCCUGCUUUAGAUGAGCUGACCUCCAAGAUUAGCAGUCGUAAUCUCGAUCGGGUGCGUAAACUGAAGAGUUCCAUGACAAGGUUGACAAAUCGUGUUCAAAAGGUAAGGGAUGAACUUGAGCAACUUCUGGAUGAUGAUGAUGAUAUGGCAGACCUUUACUUAUCAAGAAAAUUAGCUGGCUUAUCUUCACCUGUCAGUGGCUCUGGUGCCCCCAAUUGGUUUCUUAACUCUCCUACCAUAGGUUCAAAGAUAUCCAGAACAAGUAGGGCCAGUGCAACAACAAUGCAAGGGGAGAACGAUGUUGAAGACCUUGAAAUGUUGCUUGAGGCUUACUUCAUGCAGAUAGAUGGCACAUUGAACAAAUUGACUACGUUGCGUGAAUACAUUGACGACACAGAGGACUACAUCAAUAUCCAGCUUGAUAAUCAUAGGAAUCAACUAAUUCAGCUAGAGCUCUUACUAUGUUCAGGGACUGUGUGUUUGUCUGUGUAUUCCCUAGUGGCAGCAAUUUUUGGCAUGAAUUUACAAUACACAUGGAGGGAGGGCC
This 610-nucleotide unclassified non-coding RNA is filed under the name Hevea brasiliensis (rubber tree). The record is from RNAcentral. Lineage: Eukaryota; Viridiplantae; Streptophyta; Magnoliopsida; Malpighiales; Euphorbiaceae.